This 438-nucleotide ribosomal RNA is filed under the name uncultured bacterium. RNAcentral describes it as "bacterial SSU rRNA". It matches the Rfam family "Bacterial small subunit ribosomal RNA", at positions 958 to 1392 of the family's 1533-position model. The record is from RNAcentral.
AACGCGAAGAACCUUACCAGCCCUUGACAUGUCCAGGACCGGUCGCAGAGAUGCGGGAGUGCCUUCGGGAAUCGGAACACAGGUGCUGCAUGGCUGUCGUCAGCUCGUGUCGUGAGUUGUUGGGUUAAGUCCCGCAACGAGCGCAACCCUUGUCCUUAGUUGCCAGCACGUAAUGGUGGGAACUCUAAGGAGACUGCCGGUGACAAACCGGAGGAAGGUGGGGAUGACGUCAAGUCCUCAUGGCCCUUACGGCCAGGGCUACACACGUACUACAAUGGUCGGUACAGAGGGUUGCAAUACCGCGAGGUGGAGCCAAUCCCAGAAAGCCGAUCCCAGUCCGGAUUGGAGUCUGCAACUCGACUCCAUGAAGUCGGAAUCGCUAGUAAUCGCAGAUCAGCUAUGCUGCGGUGAAUACGUUCCCGGGUCUUGUACACACCG